UACGUAGGGUCCGAGCGUUGUCCGGAGUUACUGGGCGUAAAGGGCGCGUAGGCGGCUUUGCGUGUCUCCCGUGAAAUCCCUCGGCUCAACCGAGGACGUGCGGAAGAAACUGCAAGGCUCGAGUCCGGAAGAGGGGGGCGGAAUUCCCAGUGUAGCGGUGAAAUGCGUAGAUAUUGGGAGGAACACCAGUGGCGAAGGCGGUCCCCUGGGCCGGAACUGACGCUGAGGCGCGAAAGCGUGGGUAGCAAACGGG
Molecule: ribosomal RNA, 253 nt
Filed under: uncultured bacterium
Lineage: Bacteria
Description: partial 16S ribosomal RNA
Rfam family: Bacterial small subunit ribosomal RNA
Source: RNAcentral